AGAUUUUGAUCCUAGGAGAAGGUUCAUCAGACUAGGUCUCCAUCUUAGGAGAAAAAUUCGUCAGACUAAGAUUUGGAUCCUAGGAGAAGGUUCAUCAGACUAGGUCUUUUCUUUUGUUUUGUUUUUUUUUCUUCAAAAACAACUUAGGAGGAAAUGCAUCUCCUAUGGGUAAAACUUAACUUUGAGGAAGUGCGUCUCCUAUGGGUACAAUAAACUUAGGAAGUGCGUCUCCUAUUGGGGAUAACUGUUCUUAGGAAGUGCGUCUCCUACUGGGUGAAACUAAACUUUAGGAAGUGCGUCUCCUAUGAUAAACUGAACUUAGGAAGUGCGUUUCCUAUGGUAAAACUGAAUUUUAGGAAGUGCGUCUCCUAUUGGUACAACUAUUCUUAGGAAGUGCAUCUCCUAUUGGUGAAACUUCUUAGGAAGUGCGUCUCCUAUUGGUACAAUGGAUCUAGGAAGUGCGUCUCCUAUUAGUAGAACUUAACUUAGGAAGUGCGUCUCCUAUUGGGUACAAUAAACUUUAGGAAGUGCGUCUCCUAUUGGUAGAACUGAAUUUUAGGAAGUGCGUCUCCUAUGGUAAAACUGAACUUAGGAGGAAAUGCAUCUCCUAUGGGUGAAACUGAAACAAACCUAGGAGGAAAUGCGUCUCCUAUGGGUAAAACUAAACUUAGGAGGAAAUGCAUCUCCUAUGGGUAAAGACGUGGAAUGUAUGCCUCUGUUAUCUGGGCGGGCUCCCAACUUCAAUACUUGAAACGUA
Molecule: long non-coding RNA, 757 nt
Filed under: Nicotiana tabacum (common tobacco)
Lineage: Eukaryota; Viridiplantae; Streptophyta; Magnoliopsida; Solanales; Solanaceae
Description: long non-coding RNA (NTAB_LNC016876)
Source: RNAcentral